RNAcentral lists this unclassified non-coding RNA (376 nucleotides) under uncultured Nectriaceae. RNAcentral's name for it is "sequence contains ITS2". The stretch from base 1 to 154 matches the Rfam family "5.8S ribosomal RNA". The record is from RNAcentral. Lineage: Eukaryota; Fungi; Ascomycota; Sordariomycetes; Hypocreales; Nectriaceae.
AACUUUUAACAACGGAUCACUUGGUUCUGGCAUCGAUGAAGAACGCAGCGAAAUGCGAUAAGUAAUGUGAAUUGCAGAAUUACGUGAAUCAUCGAAUCUUUGAACGCACAUUGCGCCCGCCAGUAUUCUGGCGGGCAUGCCUGUUCGAGCGUCAUUUCAACCCUCAAGCCCCCGGGCUUGGUGUUGGGGAUCGGCCGCCCUCUGGCGCGCCGGCCCCGAAAUCUAGUGGCGGUCUCGCUGUAGCCUCCUCUGCGUAGUAACACACCUCGCACCGGAACGCAGCCUGGCCACGCCGUUAAACCCCCCACUUCUGAAGGUUGACCUCGGAUCAGGUAGGAAUACCCGCUGAACUUAAGCAUAUCAAUAAGCGGAGGCU